This 573-nucleotide ribosomal RNA is filed under the name uncultured bacterium. Its description in RNAcentral is "partial 16S ribosomal RNA". It matches the Rfam family "Bacterial small subunit ribosomal RNA", at positions 355 to 923 of the family's 1533-position model. The record is from RNAcentral.
CUAAGAAUAUUCCGCAAUGGACGGAAGUCUGACGGAGCGACGCCGCGUGGAUGACGAAGGCCGAAAGGUUGUAAAGUUCUUUUGCUGGGGAAGAAUAACCGCAGGAGGGAAUGCCUGUGGGAUGACAAGAACCGGCGAAUAAGCCCCGGCCAACUACGUGCCAGCAGCCGCGGUAACACGUAGGGGGCGAGCGUUGUUCGGAAUUACUGGGCGUAAAGGGCAUGUAGGCGGCUUGGAAAGCCUGGCGUGAAAGUCUGCAGCUUAACUGCAGGGGUGCGCUGGGAACUGCUGAGCUUGAGUGACGGAGAGGGAGCUGGAAUUCCUGGUGUAGGGGUGAAAUCUGUAGAUAUCAGGAAGAACACCGAUGGCGAAGGCAAGCUCCUGGCCGAUGACUGACGCUGAGGUGCGAAAGUGUGGGGAUCAAACAGGAUUAGAUACCCUGGUAGUCCACACAGUCAACGAUGUGCACUAGGUGCUGGGGCGGUAGCUUCGGUGCCGGAGCGAACGUGGUGAAGUGCACCGCCUGGGGAGUAUGCUCGCAAGGGUGAAACUCAAUGAAUUGACGGGGUCAUA